CGUGUGUCAAAAUUGAAGUCCCGAAAUACGAGUCACGUGACGUUCCUUUUCAACGUAAAUCAUCAUGGAACGUGCUGCUACCACCGCCAAAUUGGCCAAGGUCACCAAAGUCGUCGGACGUACCGGAUCACAAGGACAAUGUACACAGGUCCGUGUUGAGUUUCUGGACGACUCCAGCAGAUCAAUCGUUCGUAAUGUUAAAGGACCAGUAAGAGAGGGAGAUAUUCUUACCCUGCUUGAGUCCGAGAGAGAAGCCAGAAGGCUGCGAUAAAUUAAAAAACUUCCAGUUCCCCAAUCUGUACACGCAUACUUGUGUAAAAACUACUGAUGUUGCAACCACAAUGCCUCAAAACUCCUGUUAAUAUCGAAUUAGACACCCAUUCGAGCUUGAAAAUUGUACAAUGCUUAAUUCUCAAUGCUCUGUUUAUACAUAGAAAGCAUAGUCAUGUUUCUGGUGACCUGUACAUCAAUUCUGUCAAUGUGUGAAUACGUUAGAAUAGUUUGUCGUGUGUUGUGUGUAUACAGUGCAAGGGAGCUGGAAAUAAAAUUCGAUAUCAUG
Ciona intestinalis (vase tunicate) is the source of this 559-nucleotide non-coding RNA. The record is from RefSeq and is a predicted model, not a curated record. Lineage: Eukaryota; Metazoa; Chordata; Ascidiacea; Phlebobranchia; Cionidae.